This 216-nucleotide long non-coding RNA is filed under the name Ricinus communis (castor bean). Its description in RNAcentral is "long non-coding RNA (RCOM_LNC000304)". Lineage: Eukaryota; Viridiplantae; Streptophyta; Magnoliopsida; Malpighiales; Euphorbiaceae. The record is from RNAcentral.
GCAGGUGUCUGAUACACUGAUAAUAUGUCGAGGUGGAGGAGAUCCGGCAAAAGACCGUUGGCUGUCCCGCAAAAUGUUCUGACAAUUAGUAGCAAGAAUGGUCCAAGCCUGAGUCCAAAGCCAAGUGCGCUACUGCAUCAAAGAAUCGACUGAGCAAGACAAGUGGCCCUGGAUCUAGUCCUUCAUGCCAUAUUGGAGGUUCUAUCUCUAUGGUAG